This is a long non-coding RNA of Drosophila yakuba, 511 nucleotides long. RefSeq lists it as uncharacterized. NCBI's taxonomy places the organism in Eukaryota, Metazoa, Arthropoda, Insecta, Diptera, Drosophilidae. The record is from RefSeq and is a predicted model, not a curated record. The transcript is spliced from 2 exons.
CAUUGCACAGUAAUUAUUCCGGAAAGUUCUCGAUGGUGUAACUAUUUUGCUAUCCCACUGAAAGUAGUAUUUUACAAAUGAUAACUAUCUGUUCAUUUCUUUUUAACGCUUGGAAUCUAUUCGCGGUCCAAUUAAAUCUUUCCCUCAUUUCCCUUCAUUUACAAAUAAAUUGGUUUCGGAUAUCAUAGUGGCUCCAUGAGAAAUAUGUUAUUAAAUAGGCAUAGAUACCUGGGAACUGGCAUAUUAAAAUGGAACUCGAAAAGGUGCUGUUUCAAAUGGUAUAUAUAACAUUCAGAACGCCGAAACCCCAAGUUUUUCCCCACAGACGCCACAAAGAUCAUUAGCCGAUGGCCGGCAACUAAUUGAUGAGCGUAAAAUGAAAUGCCAACUAAUUUUUAAUUAAAAUUUUGUAUAAUCCACCGCCAACUGAACUGCAGAGGACCCACCGCAACGGAUAAGAUCUAAUUGCCAUAAUUAAUUCUCAUAUAAUUUGGGCGGCGAAGGCGACUAC